AACGCACAUUGCGCCCCUCGGUAUUCCGGGGGGCAUGCCUGUUCGAGCGUCAUUGCACUCCCUCAAGCGUAGCUUGGUGUUGGGUCGUCGCCCCUGUGGGAGCGUGCCCGAAAAGCAGUGGCGGUCCGGUGGGGCUUCAAGCGUAGUAAACAAUCGCCUUUUAAGGUGUUUGCUUUGGAAGUCUUCCGCCGCGGCCGGCCAAUUCAACCUCAUAUCUUCCAAGAAUUGACCUCGGAUCAGGUAGGGAUACCCGCUGAACUUAA
This 263-nucleotide unclassified non-coding RNA is filed under the name uncultured fungus. RNAcentral describes it as "partial contains 5.8S ribosomal RNA, internal transcribed spacer 2, and large subunit ribosomal RNA". The stretch from base 1 to 52 matches the Rfam family "5.8S ribosomal RNA", at positions 103 to 154 of the family's 154-position model. The record is from RNAcentral. Lineage: Eukaryota; Fungi.